UUGACCUCGGAUCAGGUAGGGAUACCCGCUGAACUUAAGCAUAUCAAUAAGCGGAGGAAAAGAAACCAACAGGGAUUGCCUCAGUAACGGCGAGUGAAGCGGCAACAGCUCAAAUUUGAAAUCUGGCCUUCGGGUCCGAGUUGUAAUUUGUAGAGGAUGUUUUGGGUACCGCCGCAGUUUAAAUUUCUUGGAACAGAAUGUCAGAGAGGGUGAGAAUCCCGUCUGGAACUGCGGUAGGGCCUAUGUAAAACUCCUUCGACGAGUCGAGUUGUUUGGGAAUGCAGCUCAAAAUGGGUGGUAAAUUUCAUCUAAAGCUAAAUAUUGGCCAGAGACCGAUAGCGCACAAGUAGAGUGAUCGAAAGAUGAAAAGCACUUUGAAAAGAGAGUUAAACAGUAUGUGAAAUUGUUGAAAGGGAAGCGCUUGCAACCAGACUUGUGUGUGGCGGUUCCCCCUUGCUUCUGCUUGGGCUACUCCGUCAUAUCCAGGCCAACAUCGGUUCUAGGGGCUGGUUAAAGGCCUUGGGAAUGUAUCUACCCCCGGGUAGACUUAUAGCCCAGGGUGUCAUGCGGCCACCCGGGACCGAGGAACGCGCUUCGGCGAGGAUGUUGGCGUAAUGGUUGUCAGCGACCCGUCUUGAAACACGGACCAAGGAGUCUAACAUCUAUGCGAGUGUUUGGGUGUCAAACCCGUACGCGAAAUGAAAGUGAACGGAGGUAGGAAGCCUUUAGGCUGCACUAUCGACCGAUCCUGAUAUUUAUGGAUGGAUUUGAGUAAGAGCAUAGCUGUUGGGACCCGAAAGAUGGUGAACUAUGCCUGAAUAGGGUGAAGCCAGAGGAAACUCUGGUGGAGGCUCGCAGCGGUUCUGACGUGCAAAUCGAUCGUCAAAUUUGGGUAUAGGGGCGAAAGACUAAUC
RNAcentral lists this ribosomal RNA (914 nucleotides) under Chaetothyriales sp. RNAcentral describes it as "eukaryotic LSU rRNA". It matches the Rfam family "Eukaryotic large subunit ribosomal RNA", at positions 1 to 936 of the family's 3401-position model. The record is from RNAcentral. Lineage: Eukaryota; Fungi; Ascomycota; Eurotiomycetes; Chaetothyriales.